AUGUCCAUGGCUUCAAAUUCACCUCUAACUAAAAAAAGAAAUUAGUUCCACAUGUUUAACAUAAUUGAAAAGCAAGUUAAAUUAAACAUGAAAACAGAAACAAAGAAAGAAAGAACUCUAGAAACUCCAAUGGUUGAAGAUUGCAUGCGACAAAGCCUUCCUCCUCUCCAAAGGUCACGGCAAAGCUCCUCUCUUUGGUGGAAUGGAAGUGUUGCGGCAAAAGGAUGGGGGAAGGUUAGAAAAUAUGGAAGAAUGGUGGUAGAUGGCUUGCGGCAAGGAAGAAAAAAAUGGCUAGAAUUGUGUUUCUCUGAGGUUUUUGGAUGUGUAGAAUGGUGUGGCUGGAAGUAUGGACGAAAAUUCGGUGAUUCAACCCUAAAAUAUGUAUUUAUAUAGGCACCACAAAACCCUAGAGAAAUCAGCACAAGUAAUGGGCUAGGGUUUAGGGUGCGGCAAGGGUAGAGAUCCACAAUGAAUUAGGGUUUCUAGAAAGCCUUGCAAGGCAAGGAAAAUAGGGUUUCUAGAAAGCUUAUUUCAUCUAGAAGCCCAAAGCCAAGAAUAGAAACUCUCAAAAAUGGAAACCUUCAAGAAUAGAAACUUCCAACAUUAGAAACUUUGGUUGCCAAUUCCGACUUCUUUGUUCUUCACUUUCAUUUCUUCAUUUCUUAAACUCAUUUGACCUUCAAAUUUGUCCAUUCCCUAUGCUCCAUAAGCAUACAUUCCAUUUAAGCUCAUUUUUGCUCUAAAAUGCACCAAAAUUGCACUUUCUUGCUUCAAUUGCCAUAUGAACCUACAAACACACGAAACUAGCUUAAAUCACUAUAAUAAACAAUAACUAACAACGUAAAUGCAAGAAAACAAGAUAACAAAGUCGCAUAAAUAUGCUCCUAUCAAAUUCCCCCACACUUAGCUUUUGCUAGUCCUCGAGCAAAAUAAAGAAUUAAAGAAAAACAAAACGAACAAAACAAACAAAACACAACCUAAACCUUCCAACAUUUACCUCAGGGAUUUCCAAUACACAUGACAUGUUAAAAAUCAUCAUUCCCACAGAUUUUAGUCAUCUUUACACUUAAGCACACACUUAAUCAUAGUCACCACGUACUAGUUCACAUUUAACCAAUUAAAACAUGAUUUUGAACGCAGUAACAUGCCUUAGAGAAUUUGCUCAAUUCCUUACUAGAUAUGCACUCAAUUUUCACACAGAUUUUCUGACUACACACCCUAUACUAGUUAUAUGUGAGAAGAUUGAUGUAAAUAUGAAAACGAAUGCUCACAUAUAUGUUAUAACAAGGAAAGCUUUCUCUGAAUUUAAUAAGCAUGUAUAUGAUCUCAUGAAAGGAAUGCUACUACUUAGACGCGAGAACCAGUGACACCAU
This 1373-nucleotide long non-coding RNA is filed under the name Malus domestica (apple). Its description in RNAcentral is "long non-coding RNA (MDOM_LNC020858)". The record is from RNAcentral. Lineage: Eukaryota; Viridiplantae; Streptophyta; Magnoliopsida; Rosales; Rosaceae.